UACGUAGGGACCAAGCGUUGUUCGGAUUUACUGGGCGUAAAGGGCGCGUAGGCGGCCACCGCAAGUCGGUUGUGAAAUCUCCGGGCUUAACCCGGAAAGGUCAAUCGAUACUGCGGGCUAGAGUGCAGAAGGGGCAACUGGAAUUCCUGGUGUAGCGGUGAAAUGACGCAGAUAUCAGGAGGAACACCAGCGGCGAAAGGCGGCGCUCUGGGCCGGAACUGACGCUGAGGAGCGAAAGCGUGGGUAGCAAACAGG
Molecule: ribosomal RNA, 255 nt
Filed under: uncultured bacterium
Lineage: Bacteria
Description: partial 16S ribosomal RNA
Rfam family: Bacterial small subunit ribosomal RNA
Source: RNAcentral